GGGCGCGUAGCUCAGCGGGAGAGCACUACCUUGACAGGGUAGGCGGCACUCCUCAUAAGUCGCUGAGAUACAUGGACUAUUUCGAUGGCGUCCAGGUUCGGCGAACCUGAUCGCGGUCG
This 119-nucleotide transfer RNA is filed under the name Methylobacterium sp. PvR107. RNAcentral's name for it is "tRNA-Val". Lineage: Bacteria; Pseudomonadati; Pseudomonadota; Alphaproteobacteria; Hyphomicrobiales; Methylobacteriaceae. The record is from RNAcentral.